Non-coding RNA from Coffea arabica (coffee), 2104 nucleotides. NCBI's taxonomy places the organism in Eukaryota, Viridiplantae, Streptophyta, Magnoliopsida, Gentianales, Rubiaceae. The record is from RefSeq and is a predicted model, not a curated record.
AUUCAUUCCUUUCUUUAAUUUUUAGUAUUACUAGAGUAUUGCAGGCAAAUAAUUUGCACUCAGUUUUGGGUUUUUUAGGGUUCUUCCUGUUUGAAAUUUUGGUAUCCAAUGAGUGUAAAUUGAUCCUUGAGAGAUCCCCGACCGUCAUUUUUUUACUUGGUUUAUGGAUGUUAUGAAACUAAGUUGUUUCUUGAACUUUGUCUAUCUGAAAUUUGGCUAAAUUAUAGAGAUUUGACUGUAAUUUCUGAUUGAGAAUUUUGUUUGAACUUUCACCUCUGUUGAGUCUUUGCUUUAUCUCUUAUUCAAUGUCGAAAAGGCACUUGCUUUUUUCAUCUGUUACGGCUUCCAAUUGUAGUGGUUUUGGUCAUCUUUUGUUGUAUAUAAAAAUUCUUGAAUUCCAUGACAGCUGCAUUUCUGGCUUUCGAGUUGUCGAAAUGAUGAAUGAUGUAUUUUGAUUGGUCGGUGGGAUAUAGCACUGAAAUUUCUGCACUGCAUUUGUUCGGUUAUGCAUCAUAGAAUUUUCAAAUUGUUUCACAAUUUACUGCAACUUGUUGAUUCAAUAGUGCUGACAUUGCAGUUUAAGUCUUCCUUUGUUUUGAAUCGUUUGAGUUUCUUAAUCAGAACUUCUUUGUGGUUCUGGUUAUUUAUAUAAGGGUGUGAAUCCAAAUGGUUAUUGGUAUGGGAUUUGGAUAUUUGCUUUGCCAUUGUUGUGCUUACUACUUGUUAAUUACUAUUUUUUGUUAGCAUAAGCAUAGAAAUUUAGUGAUUGCACCAGGUAGUGCACCAGGUAGUGACUGAUUACCCCGAACAUAAAUGAAGAAAUUUAUAUCUGCUGUUUGUAUUCAUCAUGUGUGCUUCAAUCAUGCGUACUGUUUGUACUUUUAUGCCCCAGUACACCUUGCACCUCUGACAACGGUGAGGAUCUGUUUUUCACCUCAGCUGUUGUCGGUUAAUUUGGUCAGCAUCUGUAUGUCGUAUGCGAUAUAUUCUCUGGACAUAAUUCUUAAAAUGAAAUUCACUUCCUCUGUUUAGGUUGACAUCCCUCUGUCACUGUUUUCUCCACCUUCUUAAAUCUUUGGUUCUCACAUGAUGCUAGCCUUCAUCAUUAUGAUUUUCUAGGAUAAGAUGAUAGUGUUAGAAACGCUUGACAACUUAAACUUCUGCUUUCAGAUUUCUUGAAACUACUCAUGCUUUAUUUUCUUGCACCUUUGGCUGCUUUUACUGUUAGGAUAUUGCAGCAUACUUUGUUUUGACAAAAAUGUUAUUUAGACAAAGAUAGUGUGUACCAUGAAGUUGUGAAUUGAUUCUUGCAGUAAGAAUGCUAUCAAAAUGUGGUUGUACAUAUUCAGCUGAAUUCUUUUCUUUAAUUUCCAAAGGGUGGGCAUCUGGGUUGCAGGGUUGUGGUGCGGUUGGCUUUCAGCAUUAGAAGUCCUAGUGCUUGUGUUGGUGCUGUCAGAUUGGAAUUUCUGGACGCUAGUGGGAGAACUAUCCAGGUUUCGACUUCUAGAUCAACCAAUUGGACAGGUCCCUCCAAGCGAUACUGAUAGAAGCAUUCUUCCAUGGCUGUAUGUGAAGUAGGAAACAAGAUUGAAAAUCUUGAUGUUUCACAAACCGGGAAGGAAAAUGCAUCAGUUCAGAUAAAGGUUUUGUUUUUCGCCAGGGCCAGAGAUCUGACUGGCUUAAGUGACAUGCAAUUUGAAGUUUCAUCUGGUAGUAGUGCCUCUGAUUGCUUAGAUAAAGUCAUUGCCAAAUUCCCUGGUUUAAAAGAGAUCCGAGGAUGUAUGGUCCUGGCUCUCAAUGAAGAGUACAUUGAAGAGUCUGUUAUUGUCAAAGAUAGAGAUGAAUUGGCCAUCAUUCCUCCCAUAAGCGGUGGGUAAGUAUUCUAGUACAGCCGUUAUGUUUGCAAGUGUCUAAAUAAAUGUUGAAUAACAGCCAUUCCGUGUAACCCUAUGUUGAGUAAAGUCCAGAAUGAUAUUUCAAUGUUUUUGUGUAAUUUGAGAUAAUUCAAUAAUUGGAUCUGUAGAUUUUUAUGGAAAUUGUCUCACAACAGUCCUUUAUGGUCAUUUUCCAUUACUUAUCAGAUGGGGGGCCUUUUGACUAGCAA